RNAcentral lists this ribosomal RNA (460 nucleotides) under uncultured bacterium. Its description in RNAcentral is "partial 16S ribosomal RNA". It matches the Rfam family "Bacterial small subunit ribosomal RNA", at positions 338 to 795 of the family's 1533-position model. The record is from RNAcentral.
CCUACGAGAGGCAGCAGUGAGGAAUAUUGGUCAAUGGACGAGAGUCUGAACCAGCCAAGUAGCGUGAAGGCUGACUGCCCUAUGGGUUGGAUACUUCUUUUAUAUGGGAAUAAAACGUUCCACGUGUGGGAUUUUGUAUGUACCAUAUGAAUAAAGAUCGGCUAACUCCGUGCCAGCAGCCGCGGUAAUACGGAGGAUCCGAGCUUUAUCCGGACUUAUUGGGUUUAAAGGGGGCGUAGGUGGAUUGUUAAGUCAGUUGUGAAAGUUUUCGGCUCAACCGUAAAAUUGCAGUUGAAACUGGCAGUCUUGAGUACAGUAGAGGUGGGCGGAAUUCGUGGUGUAUCGGGGAAAUGCUUAGAUAUCACGAAGAACUCCGAUUGCGAAGGCAGUUCACUGGACUGCAACUGACACUGAGGCUCGAAAGUGUGGGUAUCAAACAGGAUUAGAUACCCCAGUAGUC